GCUACACAUGCAGUCGAGCGGAACGAGAAGUAGCUUGCUACUUCGGCGUCGAGCGGCGGACGGGUGAGUAAUGCCUGGGAAAUUGCCUUGAUGUGGGGGAUAACCAUUGGAAACGAUGGCUAAUACCGCAUAAUGCUUUUGUUUGUAAUGAACAGGAGCCAAAGAGGGGGACCUUCGGGCCUCUCGCGUCAAGAUAUGCCCAGGUGGGAUUAGCUAGUUGGUGAGGUAAUGGCUCACCAAGGCGACGAUCCCUAGCUGGUCUGAGAGGAUGAUCAGCCACACUGGAACUGAGACACGGUCCAGACUCCUACGGGAGGCAGCAGUGGGGAAUAUUGCACAAUGGGCGCAAGCCUGAUGCAGCCAUGCCGCGUGUAUGAAGAAGGCCUUCGGNUUGUAAAGUACUUUCAGCAGUGAGGAAGGUGGAUGUGUUAAUAGCNCAUUCAUUUGACGUUAGCUGC
This 458-nucleotide ribosomal RNA is filed under the name bacterium fme08x95p495. Its description in RNAcentral is "bacterial SSU rRNA". It matches the Rfam family "Bacterial small subunit ribosomal RNA", at positions 48 to 482 of the family's 1533-position model. The record is from RNAcentral.